Long non-coding RNA from Teleopsis dalmanni, 1221 nucleotides. RefSeq lists it as uncharacterized. The transcript is spliced from 3 exons. The record is from RefSeq and is a predicted model, not a curated record. NCBI's taxonomy places the organism in Eukaryota, Metazoa, Arthropoda, Insecta, Diptera, Diopsidae.
UGUUGACCUAAUAAUACUAAUCAUUAUCUGUGCAAUUAAUCUUAAAGGUGUCUUAUAAAAAAAAUAAAAAAAUAUUUUUUAAACUAUCCCAAUUCGAUACUUCGAUACUCGAUCAUGACCAAUAAACCUAUUCAAUAAAAUAGGACGUUUCCUGCACCAAUUCAACCAGUUAUACACGAAAAUAAUAGUUUGGGUGAAAUUGAGAAGGAGCCGAACUAGUGGAUUUAGUAGAAGAACUAAUGUCUUGAGAAAUCAACAGUCCUAUACUGUAACUUCGGAAUUUAAAGUUGUUAUUGUGUCAAAGACAGGAAUUCAACGGUCAUGGGAAGCUUUGCGGGACAAAUAUACUAAAUUGAAAAAGAAAGUCUAAGCAGGAAUCGGGAGAAAAAUGCGUCGAAGAACAAGCAAUUAGACUUAGCAACAAUUACGAUAGUGACUAAUUGUUCACAACUGAGUGUAUAAUAAUUGAACAUCGAAACACCAGAAUAUAAUUCUGGUAGCCGAAGAACAUGUAGUAGAAGUGGAGUCCUGCUUAUCUAAGAAUAAAAACUGGCAAAAAAUUAACAAAACUUAAGAGUUUGAGAGAUCACACAAAUUCUAAGAAAAUUCUAAGUUGUGCCGAGAAUGGAGUGAUGUGUUGAUAUGUGUUGAUAAUUGGCUAAAUGUGUGGAGUACAAAAAAAUCCCAAAAAAUCUUCCAUUUGGUUUAGCAUCAACUUAGCCUAACUCGCACACGUACUAUAUGUUUUAACCUCGCAAUACUAGAAGCUAGUAGUAAAACUCGGCGUUUAAUUUAUUUUUUUGAUAGAGUUAAUAUUUGUCCACCAGAAGUGAAAACCCUCUCAACAGGACUGAAUAAUGGCAGAAUAGCGUAAUAUUUCAUAAUAUCAUGUUUAAAAUAUAUGGGUAGUUAAAUACUGAUGAUAAGUAUUAUGAUACUUCUUAGCAAAAUAAACAGUACUUCUGUUUUGUACUUCUUGAAACAAAAUUCUCUCAAAAUUUGAACCAACGGUAAUAUGUUUACAAACUAAUUCCAUUUGGAGAAACGGUGUUAUGGCAUGAUCAAUUCCAAUAAACAGCAGAAUGUUAGCUUUAAGAUUAAAAUGUAAGUAAUUUGAUAUUAUUAAUAAAGAACCUCUCAACAAGUACGAGUACAUUUCUUAUGUAGAUACAAGAUACGAGAAAUAAAAUGUAUCUGAGUAAGGUGCAAGGUACAGCUAUA